GACGAACGCUGGCGGCGUGCCUAAUACAUGCAAGUCGAACGCAGUGGGGACGGGUGAGGAACACGUGGGUAACCUCCUAUCAGAGGGGAUAACACUUGGAAACAGGUGCGAAAGCGAUACUGAAGGAUGGACACGCGGUGCAUUAGCCAGUUGGUGAUGUAACGGCUCACCAAGGCCACGAUGCAUAGCCUACCUGAGAGGGUGCUCGUCCACACUGGGACUGAGACACGGCCCAGUCUGCUACUGGUGGCAGCAGUAGGUAAUCUUCGGCAAUGGACGAAAGUCUGACCUAGCAACUCCGCGUGAGUGAAGAAGGUUUUCCGAUCGUAAAGCUCUGUUGUUAGUGAAGCGGUAUCUAACCAGAAUGCCACGGCUAACUACGUGCCAGCCGCCGCGGUAAUAC
RNAcentral lists this ribosomal RNA (403 nucleotides) under uncultured bacterium. Its description in RNAcentral is "partial 16S ribosomal RNA". It matches the Rfam family "Bacterial small subunit ribosomal RNA", at positions 28 to 526 of the family's 1533-position model. The record is from RNAcentral.